UGGGGAAUAUUGGACAAUGGGCGAAAGCCUGAUCCAGCCAUGCCGCGUGUGUGAAGAAGGUCUUCGGAUUGUAAAGCACUUUAAGUUGGGAGGAAGGGCAGUAAGCGAAUACCUUGCUGUUUUGACGUUACCGACAGAAUAAGCACCGGCUAACUCUGUGCCAGCAGCCGCGGUAAUACAGAGGGUGCAAGCGUUAAUCGGAAUUACUGGUCGUAAAGCGCGCGUAGGUGGUUCGUUAAGUUGAAUGUGAAAGCCCCGGGCUCAACCUGGGAACUGCAUCCAAAACUGGCGAGCUAGAGUAGGGCAGAGGGUGGUGGAAUUUCCUGUGUAGCGGUGAAAUGCGUAGAUAUAGGAAGGAACACCAGUGGCGAAGGCGACCACCUGGGCUCAUACUGACACUGAGGUGCGAAAGCGUGGGGAGCAAACAGG
This 429-nucleotide ribosomal RNA is filed under the name Pseudomonadota bacterium. RNAcentral describes it as "Proteobacteria bacterium partial 16S ribosomal RNA". It matches the Rfam family "Bacterial small subunit ribosomal RNA", at positions 355 to 776 of the family's 1533-position model. Lineage: Bacteria; Pseudomonadati; Pseudomonadota. The record is from RNAcentral.